UUUUGACUGAUGCUGCAGAGUCAGGAGGGGAAGUGCCCAAAAAGGAUCAAGGAACAAGAACUACCUAGCAGCAUCAAAAGCCAAAGUUAAGAUCAUUUCUCUGCCAGGUGAUGACUAACAGAAAGUGUGCUUUUAUAGUCUGUAA
Molecule: non-coding RNA, 145 nt
Organism: Tinamus guttatus (white-throated tinamou)
Lineage: Eukaryota; Metazoa; Chordata; Aves; Tinamiformes; Tinamidae
Source: RefSeq, a predicted model, not a curated record